This is a long non-coding RNA of Coffea arabica (coffee), 520 nucleotides long. RefSeq lists it as uncharacterized. Lineage: Eukaryota; Viridiplantae; Streptophyta; Magnoliopsida; Gentianales; Rubiaceae. The record is from RefSeq and is a predicted model, not a curated record.
UACCAUUUCUUCAAGCUCCAUGGACGGCUAGCAGUCAGCAAGGGAGCAACCGAAAACUUUCAACAUUUCCUCUACAAAAACUCACUCAAAUCACCACCAAACCUUCAUAGAUUCACACCAAACUUCACAUACACUUAGCUCUACACUUGGACAACACUUUGAGCUUCAAAAGGGAGGAGCUUUCACGGUUUCUUGGAGCUACAAGGAGGGCCGAAAUUUUGGUCUUAAGCACCAAGGAGGACUGGAAUGGAGUAAACGCGGAGAAAUCUCCUUUUGGAUAUAUUUUGUUUUAGGGUUUCAAGUGUAUUUUGGCUUGAUCCCUUUAUGAUUGUACUUUUGGAAGUUUAAUGUAUCAUUCGGAUAUAUGUGAUGUAUAUUUUGGAAUUUAAGUUGUAUUAUGAACACCCGACGUGCGGGUUGGAUAAUGGAUGGAUAGUGUUAAGCAUGAACGCUUCCGCACUAUAUGUAUUUGUACUAAUUUGAUUGUGGUAUCUAGUAUCGCUUUAAGUUUGAACGUUUA